AUUGUGGAUCUAAUUCAAUUAAUAUCAAAGUAAAGAUAUGCGUAGGUCGUUAAAUCUGAAUCAAUGACUCGAGAAAGUUUAAAAAAAAAAUAGCAGUACAGUGGUAUACGUAGUAGUUGAGCAGUCGCGAUCGGAGGAUAAACGGAUACGAACUGGUAUAAUACAAUAAAAUCACUCAAACACGCUAUUACUAAAACGGACGCUGCGCGGACGUUUACAUAAAACAAAAAAAAAAUAAGAAGAAAAUCC
This is a long non-coding RNA of Aphis gossypii (cotton aphid), 249 nucleotides long. RefSeq lists it as uncharacterized. The record is from RefSeq and is a predicted model, not a curated record. Lineage: Eukaryota; Metazoa; Arthropoda; Insecta; Hemiptera; Aphididae. The transcript has 3 exons.